UUCAAGAUGUGUGCUUCCUGUUCCU
This 25-nucleotide non-coding RNA is filed under the name Rattus norvegicus (Norway rat). The record is from RNAcentral. Lineage: Eukaryota; Metazoa; Chordata; Mammalia; Rodentia; Muridae.